This 3585-nucleotide long non-coding RNA is filed under the name Chinchilla lanigera (long-tailed chinchilla). RNAcentral describes it as "lncRNA (ENSCLAG00000026314.1)". Lineage: Eukaryota; Metazoa; Chordata; Mammalia; Rodentia; Chinchillidae. The record is from RNAcentral.
AUGAGUGGAUCCGUUUCCGUGGGGAUGCACCGGGGGCUGCCGCAGCAGAGUGUGAUUUCAGCUCCGUGGUGGAGACUUACUACGUACUCUGUAACGCGGACUCAUCUGUCAACGGUGCAUCUAACAGCCGUGCCUGUGAAGAGCAGAACAGCCUCUGAAGCCGCCUUCCUUGCUCAGCGCUCACCCACAGGCCACUGGCAAGCUCAGCUCCACUGCACCUGCCCCAGGCCGGGCUGCAAAGCCCGCUGUUUAAAGUGAGUCGGCUCCUCAAGAUGCUCAGCAGAGCCUUGUCUGAUAACACAGCUGCCGAGGGGGCCAGGGCACGCAACCCUGCGAAGGCCCCAGUGGGCGGGAAGCUGAGGCUGCGGCCGCUUGCAGCGCCCUGCUCCUGGGGGAGCUUCCUCGGCUGGGGUGCUCCAGGGAGAUGCGAGCUGGGGCAGGUGGAGGAGACCGCAGAAAAUGGUGUGGAUCUGUGAACGGCGGAUCCUCGGCACUGCAGGAGUUGUACUGGAUUUCGGACUCCCUUCCCCAAGUGAUGAAAAACAAAACAAGGCUUGUUUUAAAAAAAAGUAAAGGAAACCUUAUCUCCUGCUAAAGAUUUGAAAAAUAUCGGUGAGAGAGGGGAUGAAAAAGAAUGAAGAUGUGUCAUGCGCGUGGACCAGCUCCCCAGGAUGAGCGCGAUCACCGUAUCCUGCCAACAUGGAGUAGUACAAAUAAAAUUUAAAAAAUAAGAUGAAAACCCCUGUAAUCCUUCACUUAGAGGUAUCCCUUGCAGUGUUUGCGUUUGCUAUGAUUUCUUCUAUUUUUUAGUCCUUUUUCUGCAUAUAUAUGUACUUAAAAAUUGCAGAAGAUGAUGAAAUCAUCAACCUAGUUUUAAAGUCUGAGUUUUUAUAAAAAUCAAUAUAUCACGAACCUGUAAGUAAUUCCUCCCUCUUUCUCCCGCACCUGAAUUUUGCAUAGAAUUGUGAAUUGGAGAUACUGUAAUUUGAUGAUUUUCCAAUUUUGUGUUUUGUGUGUUAUAAACAAUGUAUAACUUCUUGACUAUUCUAGAGUAGGUAUAUUCCUUGAAAAGGGCGAUUUUUCAUGGCUUUCCCUUGCAGUUUAUGGAAUAUACCCCCAGAACUGACUGAGACCACUGUCUCCCUGUGUCCCUCUCCUCCAAGGUGGUUAUAACUUUUAAAAAAACUCUCCUCAAAAUUUGGUAGAUGAAAGAGGUAUAUGGUUGUUUUUAUUUUUAUUUACUUGCUUUCUAGUAAGGGGAAAUACUUUCUUAUGUUUAUUGCCAAUUCAUAUUUCUUUUUUUUCUAGAAUUGCUUAUAUGGUGGCAUUGCAUUUGAGACUCGUGUUGUUCUUAACCUGUAAUAAUUUUUAAUGUAUUAAGAAAAAUAAGUUUUCUAUCCUACCUGGGCAAUGGUUACUCCAUUUAACAUUUGCCUUUGAUUUUAGGGUAUGUUUUAAAAAGAAUCAUUUAAAAAAUUGUAUGUAGUCAAAUCUAUCAGUCUUUUCUUAUAUAAUGAAUUGUCUUUAUAUGUAUUCUGAAAAGUGCUUUAAAAAAUCAGAUAAAUACCUAUUUAUAUGCUUUUACUUUAUGCACUUUUAUAGUCUACUGAAUCUGUCUGGAAUUUACUUUGGAAUAUAAUAGGAGUUAAUAGAAAGAAUUUUUUCCCCUUGCCCAAAUAGUUGAAGGUUAGCUGCACACUGUAUAAGAAAAGGCCCGCCCUCCCCUGCGAUGCGAGUGCAGCCAUCGUUGUAGGUUCAUUUCCUGUGUGCAGUAAGGGUAUCAGCGCUGGCUCCUGGUUUCCUGUUCGGUUCCAUGAGUUUUCCCGUCCCCCCAUCUGAGCAUCCUCUCGUUACCCUGAUUCUAAAGCAGGUCUUGUCUUGCAGCAGAGUUAGUGGAGAGAGCAAGAGCUUUCGAGAGGUAACGUGGGAACCUCCCUGCUUCCCUCUGACAGUGGGGCCUGUGGUCCCCACCUGUGAACAGGGAUAAGAAGCAUCCGUCUCCCUUGUAGGUGCUGGAGGGCUGAGAAUACGUUCGUGAGAUCCCUGUACCCAGGUACCGUGCUGACACUACUCUUUCCAAGGUCCAGCGCAGGUGUCCACAGGCCUUUGCUCUUGGCCAUGUCCGACGUGUCAGGCCGUGUUAAUUUGGCCCUCACCACUCCAGGGACUCUGUUUUCCUCGUGUCCACUUGUCCCCUCACUAUGUGGCAGCAGUGCCAGGCACGGCUCCAGGGGCUGGUGAUUGGCGACACCCCUGCCCGGGUGGAUCUGGCCUUUCAGUGGUGUGCGGAGACUGAAUAAUCACGAGUAUUUCCGGUCGAGCUCAGCGCCAGGAGGAGCAUGAAGCAGGGUGUUGGCAGAGCUGCUGCUGAGCCUGGGGUGGGGCUGGGGGCGGGCUCCCCAGGCCCAGGAGAGAGAGGCAAGCGAAGGCACGGGAUGCAGAGGCCUGGACGGAGCCCAGAGUGAGCGCAGAUGCACGCAGUGUGGACGGGGAGGGAGAACACGGGGCUUGAGACCAGAGAACGGGGAGGGCGAGCACAGCUCUGAAGCUGAGGUGACUUCGCAGUGUGUACCCUGGUUCCCUGUCCACCCAACUCCAGCUCAGCCCUCAAGGCCCAGCUAGGGACAUGUGCCCCUUUGGGUGGCCCAGUUCCUCUCCGAGUGCCUGUUCCUCACGCUGCUGCCUCCUUAGUUUUGUGCCCUGGUCUCUCGGGUGGGAGCUCCUCAGGGCCGGGGACUGGGACACGGGCUGCUUCUCUGUCCCCCCUUAGGGUGUGGUACAGUGUUGGGAAUAUCACUUGCUAUUGUAGAAGGAAGCUUAGGAUCAGGCUAUUUUAUUUAUUUAUUUAUUUUUUAAAACUAUGUUAUUGGUACAUUUUGGGUAACAUAAUGGUCACAUUCAUCAUAGGGAAUUUGUACCCGUACGUGAUAUAACUUGAUUCUUAUUUUCCCGCUCCCCUGCCCUCCCUUCAACCCCUCUUCCCCUCCUCAUUUUCAAAAGCUUUGAGGGGCUGGGGAUUUAGUUCAGCGGCACAGUGCCUGCCUAGCAAGCGCAAGGUCGUGAGUUUGAUUCCUGGUACCAGAAGAAAAACAAACAAAAGCUUUGUUUCCACUUUUCUUUUUUCAGUUUUUUCCCUUCCUUCUUUUCCCCCUCCCCUCUCCCUGUUCGCCUUCCCAUUUGAACAUUUUCUUCCUAUUUCACAAUAGCUAUUAAACAUUUUGGUCCUUAUUUACCAUUGUUUCUCAUACCAGAGGAACCAUGCGAUAUUUUGAACGUAUGUGUCUGAUUUAUUUCACCUAUGAGUAUGGUCUCUAGGUCCAUCCAUUUACCUGGGAAUGUCUCAAGCUUAUCCUUCUGUGUGGCUGAGUAGUGCUCCUUUGUAUAAAAACACACAUCUUUGUCCAUUCCUUGGUUGAGAGGCAUGUGGGCUGUUUCUAAGAUUUAGCUAUUACAAACUGUGCCGUUAUAAACAUGGGUGUGUUUAUAUCACUGUGGUAUGAUGUUUUUAAUUCUUUAAGGAAGAUAUCAAGAAGGGGAAUAGGUGGGUCAAAUGGAACUUCUAGUUUCUUGAGGACGUCUCCCCAC